Molecule: long non-coding RNA, 261 nt
Organism: Telopea speciosissima
Lineage: Eukaryota; Viridiplantae; Streptophyta; Magnoliopsida; Proteales; Proteaceae
Exons: 2
Source: RefSeq, a predicted model, not a curated record
GAUUUGAUAUUUUUUUACCCUUUUAACCUUAUUUUGUGUGGAGAUUGUGAAUGCUUACUGUCUUCUAUUCCUUUUACGGUUUUCUUUGGGCAGAAGCCUUGAAUUUUAGAAUAAAGUUAAGGUUUUCAUGUUCUUCUUCGUCUUUAUUCUAUCUUUUAACCUGUAAGAUCAAAAGGCUUUCUUGAACUACCAUGGUUUUGAUUUAAAAGAUUUUCCUUUUCAAGAAGGGAACGUCGGUAUCCCUUUCAUAUCUGGAGGUUU